GGGCACUUAUUUAUUACAAGAAUAUGAAUAAAAUUUGUCCAUCAAAAUUAAGAGAAAACUAGAAUUUAACCAUGACGAGAAAAGUAAGUAUCUAUUAUAUAUAAAAAAUUAAUUAUGGAAAAUAAUUUAUACUCACAUUUUAACAAGAAAAACUUUUAUGAAUAGCUAGUCCGAGAGGAUCAUUAGCCACAAUGGGACUGAGAUACGACACAAACUCCUAUGGGAGGAAGCAGUGGGCAAUUUUCUACAAUGGGUGAAAGCUUAACGGAGAAAUGCCACGUGGAGGUAGAAGGCCUAUGGAUCAUGAACUGCUUUUCUCAAAGAAGAAACAAUGACAGUAUCUAAGGAAUAAGCAUCGACUAACUCUAUGCUAGCAGUUGCGGUAAGAUAGAGGAUACA
Ribosomal RNA from Lupinus angustifolius (narrow-leaved blue lupine), 399 nucleotides. It matches the Rfam family "Bacterial small subunit ribosomal RNA", at positions 38 to 536 of the family's 1533-position model. NCBI's taxonomy places the organism in Eukaryota, Viridiplantae, Streptophyta, Magnoliopsida, Fabales, Fabaceae. The record is from Rfam.